CAGCCGCCGCGGUAAUACGUAGGGUGCGAGCGUUAAUCGGAAUUACUGGGCGUAAAGCGUGCGCAGGCGGUUGUGUAAGACAGGUGUGAAAUCCCCGGGCUUAACCUGGGAACUGCGCUUGUGACUGCACAGCUAGAGUAUGGCAGAGGGGGGUGGAAUUCCACGUGUAGCAGCGAAAUGCGUAGAGAUGUGGAGGAACACCAAUGGCGAAGGCAGCCCCCUGGGCCAAUACUGACGCUCAUGCACGAGAGCGUGGGGAGCAAACAGGAUUAGAUACCCCCGUAGUCCCUGUCUCUUAUAC
This 301-nucleotide ribosomal RNA is filed under the name uncultured bacterium. RNAcentral describes it as "partial 16S ribosomal RNA". It matches the Rfam family "Bacterial small subunit ribosomal RNA", at positions 509 to 807 of the family's 1533-position model. The record is from RNAcentral.